GUCCUCUUGAUUUUGUGAGAGGUUUGGCCUGCCCGGUGAUUUUUUAACGGCUGCGGUAUUCUGACCGUACAAAGGUAGCAUAAUCAUUAGUCUUUUAAUAGGAGGCUGGAAUGAAGGGUUUGACGAGGGAAUAACUGUCUCAUUUAAAUAAAUUAAAAUUUAACUUUUAAGUUAAAAGGCUUAAAUAUUGUUGGAAGACGAGAAGACCCUAUAGAGCUUUACGUUUAGUAUUUUUUGUUUUUUUUUGUUUAUAAAUAAAAAUUAUUUAUAUAAAUGUUUUGUUGGGGUGACAAAAAUACUUAAUUAACUUUUUUAUUUAUUUUACAUUAAUUUAUGUUUAUUGGAUCCAUUAUUAUUGAUUAUUAGAAAAAGUUACCUUAGGGAUAACAGCGUAAUCCUCUUUUGGAGUUCAAAUUUACAAGGGGGCUUGCGACCUCGAUGUUGGAUUAAGAUAAUAGUUAGGUGUAGUAGCUUGGUGUAUAGGUCUGUUCGACCUUUAAAUUCUUACAUGAUCUGAGUUCAGACCGG
This 528-nucleotide ribosomal RNA is filed under the name Metagrion sp. BOLD:ACG0557. RNAcentral describes it as "partial 16S ribosomal RNA". It matches the Rfam family "Bacterial large subunit ribosomal RNA", at positions 1830 to 2619 of the family's 2925-position model. The record is from RNAcentral. Lineage: Eukaryota; Metazoa; Arthropoda; Insecta; Odonata; Argiolestidae.